This 570-nucleotide ribosomal RNA is filed under the name uncultured bacterium. Its description in RNAcentral is "bacterial SSU rRNA". It matches the Rfam family "Bacterial small subunit ribosomal RNA", at positions 86 to 655 of the family's 1533-position model. The record is from RNAcentral.
GGGUGGCGACCGGCGCACGGGUGCGUAACACGUAUGGAAUCUACCCUUUACUGGGGGAUAGCCCGGAGAAAUCCGGAUUAAUACCCCUUAACAAGCGGGACGGCAUCGUCCUGCUUUGAAAGCUCCGGCGGUAAAGGAUGACCAUGCGCACGAUUAGCUAGUUGGUGAGGUAACGGCUCACCAAGGCUACGAUCGUUAGGGGGCCUGAGAGGGUUAUCCCCCACACUGGUACUGAGACACGGACCAGACUCCUACGGGAGGCAGCAGUGAGGAAUAUUGCGCAAUGGAGGCAACUCUGACGCAGCCAUGCCGCGUGCAGGAAGAAGGCGCUACGCGUUGUAAACUGCUUUUAACCGGGAAGAAACCCCUCUACGUGUGGAGGGUUGACGGUACCGGAGGAAUAAGCACCGGCUAACUUCGUGCCAGCAGCCGCGGUAAUACGAAGGGUGCAAGCGUUAUCCGGAUUCAUUGGGUUUAAAGGGUGCGUAGGUGGGGCGUUAAGUCAGUGGUGAAAUCCUGCAGCUCAACUGUAGACUUGCCAUUGAUACUGGCGUUCUUGAGUGCGCUUGA